RNAcentral lists this ribosomal RNA (424 nucleotides) under uncultured Glomeromycotina. RNAcentral describes it as "SSU rRNA". It matches the Rfam family "Eukaryotic small subunit ribosomal RNA", at positions 670 to 1092 of the family's 1831-position model. Lineage: Eukaryota; Fungi; Glomeromycota. The record is from RNAcentral.
UUGGUACGCACUGGCUUUACUGAUUCCUCCUUCUUGACGAACCGUGAUGUCAUUAAUUUGGUGUUGCGGGAAAUCAGGACUGUUACUUUGAAAAAAUUAGAGUGUUUAAAGCAAGCUAACGCUUGAAUACAUUAGCAUGGAAUAAUGAAAUAGGACGUUCGAUCCUAUUUUGUUGGUUUCUAGGAUUGACGUAAUGAUUAAUAGGGAUAGUUGGGGGCAUUAGUAUUCAAUUGUCAGAGGUGAAAUUCUUGGAUUUAUUGAAGACUAACUACUGCGAAAGCAUUUGCCAAGGAUGUUUUCAUUAAUCAAGAACGAAAGUUAGGGGAUCGAAGACGAUCAGAUACCGUCGUAGUCUUAACCAUAAACUAUGCCGACUAGGGAUCGGAUGAUGUUAAUUUUUUAAUGACUCAUUCGGCGCCUUACG